Molecule: ribosomal RNA, 449 nt
Filed under: uncultured bacterium
Lineage: Bacteria
Description: bacterial SSU rRNA
Rfam family: Bacterial small subunit ribosomal RNA
Source: RNAcentral
UCGAGGAUCUUUCGCAAUGGGCGCAAGCCUGACGGAGCGACGCCGUGUGAGCGAAGAAGGCCUUCGGGUUGUAAAGCUCUUUCGCUUGGGAAUAAGGGAGGCCGGCAAACAACCGGCUGACUUGAAGGUACCAGGUAAAGAAGUACUGGCUAACUCCGUGCCAGCAGCUGCGGUAAUACGGAGGGUACAAGCAUUAAUCGGAAUUACUGGGCGUAAAGGGCGCGUAGGCGGGAUGGGAAGUCAGAUGUGAAAUACCGGGGCUCAACUUCGGUGCUGCAUCUGAGACUCCUGUUCUGGAGGGUCAGCGGAGAAAAUGGAAUUCCACGUGUAGCGGUGAAAUGCGUAGAUAUGUGGAGGAACACCUGUGGCGAAAGCGGUUUUCUAGCUGAUUUCUGACGCUGAGGCGCGAAAGCAAGGGGAGCAAACAGGAUUAGAUACCCCUGUAGUCC